AAUAUUUCGAGGUUCAUGGCACCUGCCAGAUAAGCAAGCUUCCUUACUUACCAGGUAAGAUUGCCAGAAUCUCUGUAAACAAGGUACCAGGCCCAUAUUUCCAAGUGGCUUAUUUCAGAAAGUCAACCUUAUUCCUCAAAGGCAGUAUUGUCAUAUCCGAGUCUGUAUGUUCCUCUCAAAUAUGACAUUCCAGUCAAAGCUUUGGCAAGAUAACAAAUGUUUCCAAAUGUGUCCUGUUAUAAGGAGAACAGAUUCUUAUUGAACUGAUGCAAAUAACUAUAUUGCCACGAAAUAACCAUACUCACUCACAGAGAGUUUCCAAAUUCUGGAGGGAUCAGGUAGGGAGAAAAAGAUAAAUGUUUCAGUUUGCUCACAAAGGUAUAAUUUCACCAAAUUGCUAUAAGUCAUAGCACAAGAGAAAAGAAAAAGAUUUUCUUGAAUCUGAAAAAACAAAGCAAAACAUCAAAAAAAUCAACAAUAUUUCAAAUAAAAGUCAUAAAAAUUAUCAUCCUCAGUUCAUUCAGUCCUAUAUAAUCAGUUCUUGAUCUUAAUCUUCUGUUAGCACUGUCGACGAAAAUAAUCCAUAACCAAUCUAUAAAUGAAAAUUUGGGUGAGUUUAUUCUGAGCUUAAAUCUUAGUAUUAUAACCCAGGAGAGUCUUUCCACAAAGGAACAGAGCACUCCAAAGAGUGGGGUACACAGGGUGGUUAUGUACCCUCAAAGAGGGUGUUUCACAUAUGAUUGAAAUGUCCCUCCCACAAUAGUCACAAGAUUGCCCUGUUGGGCACAGCACUUGAUGGACACAGCAGGUAGUGGGUCUGCUAUCUCGGUGGGUUUAGCAGGAGGCAAGUCUAUUGUCUCAAGCUGGGCGGUCACAGGUGAGCACAGCAAUCAGCUUCUAUCCUAAGGAAAGAUAAUUAAUCCUUAAGGAGAGGCCAACGUUGGGAGGGGGAGAGAAGUUGCACCUUUAUCUCAAGGGCCUUUGCUCUUGCCAUAGGGAAUCUCUAAAGCAGAUAUACAAUGCAUGCUCAAUGGCCUCGGUCAGGCCCUUUUGGAAAGACAAGGUCAGGCCGAAUUAGGUUUACACCAAAUGGCUUCCUCAUAUACUCCAAUAUAUCCUAUUGCUUGUGUAGGGGAGGAAGACAUUUCCUCUUCCCAAAUGGGGGUUCAUCUGGCCAGAGAAUGAAUUAAAUUCACAUGAGACAGAAUAGCAAAAGAAAAUUAAACAAAGCUUUAUGAGGAACCAUGGCCCAGGGCCUUUCUUCUCAAAGGAAGAAAGGGCACCGAAGAAGUGGGGUGCACACAGUGGUUAUAUACCCCCAAACAGGAUGUUUCACAUGUGAUUGAAAUGUCCCUCCCACAAUAGUCACAAGAUUGCCCUGUCAGCACAGGGCUUGAUGGAUACAGCAGGUAAUGGUCUGCUGUCUCGAUGGGCAUAGCAGGAGGAAAGUCGAUUGUCUGGAGCUGGGCGUCACAGGUGAGCGCAGCAAUCAGUUCCUAGCCUAAGAACAGAUGCUUAAUCCUUAAAGAAAUGCCAACGUUGGCAGGGGGAGGGAAGUCAGUUAUAGGAGGUUACCAGACAAGCACAAUAAAAUGCAGAUUUAAAUCCUUGCCUUUGAUAUUGAUUAAGAGUUUCUAGAGAGAAGGUCACCUCCUUUCUUCUUCCUGGUACAGAGAGGGAGGCACCUUUUACAGAUAGAGAUUUCCCUUACAAAUGUAAACGUGUCCUAACAAAGGGCAACAAACGUGGAUUCAUACAGCUGUCCGAGAAGGUUCCCAAUGGAGCAGUGAAUUUAGAUCCAUCCUUGAAAAAGAGAAAGGCACAAGGAAAACUAGAACUUUAGCUCACAAGCUGGUGAAGCAAGCGGGCUCAGCAAGCCAAGGAGUCAAAAGAAAGACUUCCUGGGCUCAAGGCCUGGAAGUAGCGCUCCUCUAUUCAAAUAGCAUGGGGACAGGGCCUAUGGGCAGUGAAGAGCUGCAGCAUGGGGACAGGACCCAUGGCCAGGACUCAACAGGUCUUAGUCUUAUAAUAUUGCAUAAGGAAGCAUUUCCAGUCAGACAAUUUUAAAACAUACUCAAGCAAAGUUGAUAUAACCUCUUUAUAAAAAGAAAAUCAGCUCAAGCAUUCCAACCUUUAUAAUCUUAUUGUCGACAAAAAUAAUCCAUCACUAAUCUAUAAAUGAAAAUUUGGGUGAGUUUAUUCUGAGCUUAAAUCUGAAGAUUAUAACCUGGGCCCCUCUUCCCCAAGGAAGAAAGGGCACCAAAGAAGUGGGGUGCACAGAGUGGUUAUAUACCCCCAGAGAGGAUGUUUCACAUAGGAUUGAAAUGUCCCUUUUACAAUAGUUGCGAGACUGCUCUGUGGGCACAGCAAUUGAUGGAAACAGCAGGUAGGUCUGCUGUCUCAGUGAACACAGCAGGGUGGCAGUCUGUUGUCUCCAGCUGAGUGGUCACAGGUGAGCUGGGUGGUCAAAGGUGAGUGCAGCAAUCAGUUCCUAGCCUAAGGAAAAAUGCUUAUCCCUAAGGGAAUGCUAAUGUGGGGGGAAGUUGCACCUUUAUCUCAAGGGCCUUUGUUCUGGCCAUAGGAAAUGUCUAAGCAGAUAUACAACGUGUGCUCAAUAGCCACAGUCAGGCCCUUUUGGAAAAAACAGUCAGGCCGAAUUAGGUUUAUACCAAAUGGCUUCCUCAUAUACUCCAAUAUAUCCUAUUGCUUGCCAUUUUUAUUUGUCAUUAUGAACACUUAGACCUUUAUAUUUCACCAAUUCAAUUAUAACCUGAGUCAGGGUUUAAACCUAGUCAUCAUUUUCUUGUGUUUCCUUUUUAAUUUGGCUUUUUUCGUAGAUACCAAUAAAAAUUAUGAUGAGAGCUCUCACAAUUUGUUUCCCCUAUUUAGAAGUUUUCCGAAUUUAAAUGAUCCAUCGUCUGGCCGGAAUUGACGAGUAGGAUCUUAACAGCAACUCAACCAAAGCUUGACCAAGGACAAAGAGGCGUCCCCAAAAGAGAUCCAGAAAAUUCACUCCCAAAAAUAGCCUAAGAAAG
This 3035-nucleotide long non-coding RNA is filed under the name Equus caballus (horse). RNAcentral describes it as "lncRNA (ENSECAG00000045248.1)". Lineage: Eukaryota; Metazoa; Chordata; Mammalia; Perissodactyla; Equidae. The record is from RNAcentral.